CAGGGAUCGCAUUCCUGGGCAGGGAUCCCGGGGGCAGCGCCGGGCUGAGCCACCGCCCCGCGCGUGACCGGGCGUUCCGGGAGCAGCAUCCCCGUGGGAAGGAGGGAGGGAGGGAAGGAGGGAGCCGGGCUUGGUGAGUCAACACUGCAGAGCUGCUGCGAGAGGAGGGGGAGGCAGAGCCAGGCCGGCUGGGAAGGACGGAUUUGCCGAGCCCGCGACAAAAAUGGUUUGAGUAAUUAUCGACGAUGUAAAGGCAGAGGUAUCAGCACCCCCUGAAGCAACAGCCUCCCUUCCCAGGAACAUCAAACCCAUCCAGUGCAGGUCCUGACAGUAAAAGCCCUCAAGGUCCUCCCAUGAAGGCCACAAGAUUUCUUCCCACUGAUUUCUCCAGGGAAUCCAUUUGCUGGGAAUCUUGCAGCGCAGGGAUUGGAAAAUAUCAGCGAAUCCCUCCUGUAUCUGCUCUCAACACAGAAGCACAACGAUAGAAAACAUCUUAAAUGGUCUCCUGUUACCAGAAUUUUCUAGCUGGCAGACAAAAAAAGAAGAUUUCCAAUAUGUAUCAGGUGCUCCUGGCACUUCUGGGCCAUGGAAUACCAGGAGAAGAGCUCGAGCCAUUGCAUCCCAGCAGCAAAUUGGAAUUUCAUCCUGUGAAACCAAACUGUGCUCCUGAUGAUAUCGGUAUAAAAUCAGACAGUUUCCAUGAAGGUCAAAUCAGUCCCUGAGCUGGAGUGAGGAGUCUGGGAGCUCAGGGCUGUGGAAAUCCCAGGAUGUUUUGUACGCCCCCUUCCCCCAUGCCCAGUCUGAACAGACAACCAGCUCCCCCAGAGCAGAGGCUGCAGGAGCACAGCAGGAGCCCCCCAACCCCUGCAGUGUCACAGAGCCAUGACAGCAGAAUCACAAACCCCACACUCGAGGGGGAGACUCUGCCCGACCCCCUCCUGUGACAGCUGAGCCAGAAGUAAAGUUGGAUCAAAAGCA
This is a long non-coding RNA of Pipra filicauda (Wire-tailed manakin), 978 nucleotides long. RefSeq lists it as uncharacterized. The record is from RefSeq and is a predicted model, not a curated record. Lineage: Eukaryota; Metazoa; Chordata; Aves; Passeriformes; Pipridae. The transcript is spliced from 2 exons.